GAUGAACGCUAGCGGCAGGCCUAAUACAUGCAAGUCGGACGGGAUUGAGGAGCUUGCUCUUCAUGAGAGUGGCGCACGGGUGCGUAACACGUAUGUAACCUACCUUGUUCAGGGGGAUAGCCUCUCGAAAGAGAGAUUAAGACCGCAUAACAUAUUGAAGUGGCAUCACUUUAUUAUCAAAUAUUUAUAGGAACAAGAUGGGCAUGCGGAACAUUAGCUAGUUGGUGAGGUAACGGCUAACCAAGGCGACGAUGUUUAGGGGAGCUGAGAGGAUGGCCCCCCACACUGGUACUGGGCCACGGACCAGACUCCUACGGGAGGCAGCAGUAAGGAAUAUUGGUCAGUGGACGGAAGUCUGAACCAGCCAUGCCGCGUGCAGGAAGACGGCCCUAUGGGUUGUAAACUGCUUUUGCAGGGGAAUAAACCUCUCUACGUGUAGAGAGCUGAAUGUACUCUGAGAAUAAGGAUCGGCUAACUCCGUGCCAGCCGCCGCCGUAA
RNAcentral lists this ribosomal RNA (498 nucleotides) under uncultured bacterium. RNAcentral describes it as "partial 16S ribosomal RNA". It matches the Rfam family "Bacterial small subunit ribosomal RNA", at positions 28 to 523 of the family's 1533-position model. The record is from RNAcentral.